UGCAGUCGAGCGACAGAUAAGGAGCUUGCUCCUUUGACGUUAGCGGCGGACGGGUGAGUAACACGUGGGUAACCUACCUAUAAGACUGGGAUAACUUCGGGAAACCGGAGCUAAUACCGGAUAACAUUUGGAACCGCAUGGUUCUAAAGUGAAAGAUGGUUUUGCUAUCACUUAUAGAUGGACCCGCGCCGUAUUAGCUAGUUGGUAAGGUAACGGCUUACCAAGGCGACGAUACGUAGCCGACCUGAGAGGGUGAUCGGCCACACUGGAACUGAGACACGGUCCAGACUCCUACGGGAGGCAGCAGUAGGGAAUCUUCCGCAAUGGGCGAAAGCCUGACGGAGCAACGCCGCGUGAGUGAUGAAGGGUUUCGGCUCGUAAAACUCUGUUAUUAGGGAAGAACAAACGUGUAAGUAACUGUGCACGUCUUGACGGUACCUAAUCAGAAAGCCACGGCUAACUACGUGCCAGCAGCCGCGGUAAUACGUAGGUGGCAAGCGUUAUCCGGAAUUAUUGGGCGUAAAGCGCGCGUAGGCGGUUUCUUAAGUCUGAUGUGAAAGCCCACGGCUCACCCGUGGAGGGUCAUUGGAAACUGGGAAACUUGAGUGCAGAAGAGGAAAGUGGAAUUUCCAUGUGUAGCGGUGAAAUGCGCAGAGAUAUGGAGGAACACCAGUGGCGAAGGCGACUUUCUGGUCUGUAACUGACGCUGAUGUGCGAAAGCGUGGGGAUCAAACAGGAUUAGAUACCCUGGUAGUCCACGCCGUAAACGAUGAGUGCUAAGUGUUAUGGGGUUUCCGCCCCUUAGUGCUGCAGCUAACGCAUUAAGCACUCCGCCUGGGGAGUACGACCGCAAGGUUGAAACUCAAAGGAAUUGACGGGGACCCGCACAAGCGGUGGAGCAUGUGGUUUAAUUCGAAGCAACGCGAAGAACCUUACCAAAUCUUGACAUCCUUUGAAAACUCUAGAGAUAGAGCCUUCCCCUUCGGGGGACAAAGUGACAGGUGGUGCAUGGUUGUCGUCAGCUCGUGUCGUGAGAUGUUGGGUUAAGUCCCGCAACGAGCGCAACCCUUAAGCUUAGUUGCCAUCAUUAAGUUGGGCACUCUAGGUUGACUGCCGGUGACAAACCGGAGGAAGGUGGGGAUGACGUCAAAUCAUCAUGCCCCUUAUGAUUUGGGCUACACACGUGCUACAAUGGACAAUACAAAGGGCAGCUAAACCGCGAGGUCAUGCAAAUCCCAUAAAGUUGUUCUCAGUUCGGAUUGUAGUCUGCAACUCGACUACAUGAAGCUGGAAUCGCUAGUAAUCGUAGAUCAGCAUGCUACGGUGAAUACGUUCCCGGGUCUUGUACACACCGCCCGUCACACCACGAGAGUUUGUAACACCCGAAGCCGGUGGAGUAACCA
This 1403-nucleotide ribosomal RNA is filed under the name Staphylococcus saprophyticus. Its description in RNAcentral is "bacterial SSU rRNA". It matches the Rfam family "Bacterial small subunit ribosomal RNA". The record is from RNAcentral. Lineage: Bacteria; Bacillati; Bacillota; Bacilli; Caryophanales; Staphylococcaceae.